UCAAUAUAACUUCUAAGGAUCACAUUUUAGGUACUCUGUUACCACAGAUCAGGGAGAAUAUACAUAUUUAUCUUUUUGGAAAGGCUUAUUUCACAAAAUGUAACGUUUUACAGUUGCAUCCAGUCUUUUUUUUUUUUUUUUUUUUGUAUAGGAAAAGCUUUCUUACCUGCAGCAUACCGGAGAUCAACACUGGCCCUGUAUCCAAGCCUGGAGCCAAGACAGCUGUCACCCACUUUUUUGACACUGCCUGGCCACUUCCGGUGCCGCUGGGAGGAAGAGGCGGGUCCUAGAUGGAUAGCGCUUGUGCAGUCAGUCUGGUGGAUAUAGAGCCGACGGUGGCAGAGUUGUCGGCUGCUAGAGUUGUCGGCUUCCGGCGGCGUUUUCGGCAGCGGUACUGGCCUGGAGAGUGCGGGAGCGAAGACAUUUUCAUGGAUAUGAAACUGGAUGCAGUUGAAGUUCAUCUGCUGGGUAAUCUUCCAUUUCUGGGGACUGCUCGACUUCCUGCUAAACACAGCUGGGACUUCUUCCUGGAGAGGAGCAACUGGUGAGCAGAUGUGACCACCUCAUCUCCAUGCCAAUGUGUGUCCUGUUGCCAGUGAGGAGUGUGCCUGUGCCUGGCGCUUUGACCCAGAAGUGCACCCGCAGGUGCCGCCACUUCUGCCCUCGAUGCACUGGUGGGAGUCAAUGCCAUGUCUGCUCCUUCCCAGAGCCUUGAGGAGCUGCCUUCAACGCUGGUGGCUGAACCUGAGGAGACCCAGGGCCCUGCAGACUCAGGCUGGGAUCAGACUGCACACACAGAGGAGAAAGCAGAAGCUUAGAGAAAUGCCAAGAAUCCCUCAGUGCCCUGUUCCAGCCUGCCCCAAGAUUCUGACACCUCACACCCCUUCUGGAAGCAAUGGCUGUCCCGCCAGCAGACCAGGCCCACUUGGAGGUGAGUGA
This 939-nucleotide long non-coding RNA is filed under the name Oryctolagus cuniculus (rabbit). RNAcentral's name for it is "lncRNA (ENSOCUG00000032607.1)". Lineage: Eukaryota; Metazoa; Chordata; Mammalia; Lagomorpha; Leporidae. The record is from RNAcentral.